This 433-nucleotide ribosomal RNA is filed under the name uncultured bacterium. RNAcentral describes it as "bacterial SSU rRNA". It matches the Rfam family "Bacterial small subunit ribosomal RNA", at positions 53 to 474 of the family's 1533-position model. The record is from RNAcentral.
ACAUGCAAGUCGUACGAGAAAUCCUGGGCAACUGGGAAAGUAAAGUGGCGUACGGGUGAGUAACACGUGGGUAACCUACCCUUGAAUUUGGGAUAACUCCGCGAAAGCGGGGCUAAUACCGAAUAAUAUUCUGACUCCCAAGGGGGUUGGAAUCAAAGGUGGCCUCUGCAUGCAAGCUAUCGUUUAAGGAUGGGCCCGCGUACCAUUAGCUAGUUGGUAGGGUAAUGGCCUACCAAGGUUAUGAUGGGUAGCCGGCCUGAGAGGGUGUUCGGCCACACUGGGACUGAGACACGGCCCAGACUCCUACGGGAGGCAGCAGUGAGGAAUCUUGCGCAAUGGGCGAAAGCCUGACGCAGCGACGCCGCGUGGAGGAAGACGGCCUUCGGGUUGUAAACUCCUGUCAGAGGUGAAGAAUCCCCGCAAGGGGUUGACG